Molecule: transfer RNA, 70 nt
Filed under: Loxodonta africana (African savanna elephant)
Lineage: Eukaryota; Metazoa; Chordata; Mammalia; Proboscidea; Elephantidae
Rfam family: tRNA
About the family: Transfer RNA (tRNA) molecules are approximately 80 nucleotides in length. Their secondary structure includes four short double-helical elements and three loops (D, anti-codon, and T loops).
Source: Rfam by way of RNAcentral
GCAUUCGUAGUUCAGUGGUAGAAUUCUCACCUUCCAUGAGAAAGACCUAGUUCAAUUCCUGGCCAACGCA